UACGUAGGGUGCGAGCGUUAAUCGGAAUUACUGGGCGUAAAGCGUGCGCAGGCGGUUGUGUAAGACAGGUGUGAAAUCCCCGGGCUCAACCUGGGAACUGCGCUUGUGACUGCACGGCUAGAGUACGGCAGAGGGGGGUGGAAUUCCUGGUGUAGCAGUGAAGUGCGUAGAUAUCAGGAGGAACAUCGAUGGCGAAGGCAGCCCCCUGGGCCGAUACUGACGCUCAUGCACGAAAGCGUGGGGAGCAAACAGG
Molecule: ribosomal RNA, 253 nt
Filed under: uncultured bacterium
Lineage: Bacteria
Description: partial 16S ribosomal RNA
Rfam family: Bacterial small subunit ribosomal RNA
Source: RNAcentral